This 773-nucleotide ribosomal RNA is filed under the name uncultured Neocallimastigales. Its description in RNAcentral is "partial large subunit ribosomal RNA". It matches the Rfam family "Eukaryotic large subunit ribosomal RNA", at positions 24 to 618 of the family's 3401-position model. Lineage: Eukaryota; Fungi; Neocallimastigomycota; Neocallimastigomycetes; Neocallimastigales. The record is from RNAcentral.
UAUCUCUGUAGAGUCUGCAUAUCAAUAAGCGGAGGAAAAGAAACUAACUAGGAUUCCCUCAGUAACGGCGAGUGAAGCGGGAAGAGCUCAAAUUUGAAAUCUUCAAGGUUUUACCUUGACGAAUUGUAGUUUAAAGAAGUGUUUUCUGUUGGAGUUUCGGUAAAAGUUCUUUGGAAUAGGACAUCAUAGAGGGUGAGAAUCCCGUAUUUGACCAUUAUUUCAGCUUUGUGAUACACUUUCAAAGAGUCGGAUUGUUUGGGAAUGCAGUCCAAAAUGGGUGGUAAAUUUCAUCUAAAGCUAAAUAUUGGCGAGAGACCGAUAGCGAACAAGUACCGUGAGGGAGAAGAUGAAAAGAACUUUGAAAAGAGAGUUAAACAGUACGUGAAAUUGUCAAAAGGGAAGCGUUUGACACCAGUGUUGUUUCUACGAAAAUCAAUUUAUGAUGGCUUGAUGCUAAGCUUUAAGACUUUAUCCGCUUGUUGUUUAGUUUUCUUGUCUUUGUGAAUGCACUUUUCGUGGAACAAGUCAACAUCAAUUUCUUUUGCUGUAAAAGGGUAAGAGGAAGGUGGCUUCGGCUUCGGUUGAAGUGUUUAUAGCCUUUUAUCUCUGCAGUCGGAGAGAUUGAGGUCUGCAGCGUAGACUCUUCGGGGUUAGAUACGUCGGUGCUAAGCUAUAGCUUUUCAUAGACAACUUGUUGACUAUGUUUAGUCAUGUGGCUUACCCGCUGGCGCUAUUUUACCUACGCUUAGGAUGUUGAGUCAUCACACAUCUCU